This 30-nucleotide non-coding RNA is filed under the name Rattus norvegicus (Norway rat). The record is from RNAcentral. Lineage: Eukaryota; Metazoa; Chordata; Mammalia; Rodentia; Muridae.
UGCUUCAUCAUAACCUGGCCGUCAUUCAGA